This 270-nucleotide ribosomal RNA is filed under the name uncultured bacterium. RNAcentral's name for it is "partial 16S ribosomal RNA". It matches the Rfam family "Bacterial small subunit ribosomal RNA", at positions 28 to 293 of the family's 1533-position model. The record is from RNAcentral.
GACGAACGCUGGCGGCGUGCUUAACACAUGCAAGUCUAGGACGCUAAUGUAGCAAUAUGUUAGUGGACUGGCGUACGGGUGCGUAACGCGUAGGUAAUUUGCCCUAAGGACUGGCAUAACACUGAGAAAUCAGUGCUAAUUCCAGAUAAUACAACGAGGUCGCAUGAUUUUGUUGUCAAAGACCCAAAAGGUUGCCAUAGGAGAAGCCUGCGUCCCAUUAGGUAGUUGGCGGAGUAACGGCCCACCAAGCCUACGAUGGGUAGCCGGUCU